AGUCUGGUGGUAGAAUGGCUAUACAGCGGUCUGCAAAACCGUAUAUCUGAAAAGAUGAUGCGAGUUCGAAUCUCGUCCAGACUUA
RNAcentral lists this transfer RNA (85 nucleotides) under Myoviridae sp. ctWb16. Its description in RNAcentral is "tRNA-Cys". It matches the Rfam family "tRNA". From Rfam's summary of the family: Transfer RNA (tRNA) molecules are approximately 80 nucleotides in length. RNAcentral also lists the same sequence under 1 other name. The record is from RNAcentral. Lineage: Duplodnaviria; Heunggongvirae; Uroviricota; Caudoviricetes.